Molecule: long non-coding RNA, 686 nt
Organism: Equus quagga
Lineage: Eukaryota; Metazoa; Chordata; Mammalia; Perissodactyla; Equidae
Exons: 5
Source: RefSeq, a predicted model, not a curated record
GCAGGCACUUCCGCCCCAGGAGGACGACGUAGCAGCCAUCUUUUCCCUGAUGGUGGUGAUUGGGCUCUGCUAUUCACGAGCCUUGUGAACUUCCUCCAGACGCGCCUGGGGCCAACAGCGAGCGGCUGAAAGUGGAGCCCUGACUCCACGGAAAGCACGGUACGGAUGAGGAGGCAGCAGCGCCCACGUGGUUCUUCUGCAUUUUUCUACGAGUGGCAUCGGCAUCAGUUGGGUAGACCUUCUGAUUUAGAAUUUCUGCAUGUGGGACACAGGAAUCUGAAUUCCAACAAGACCCUGAGGCGAUUCCUGUGCACAGGAAACUUGGAGAAGCUCAGGAAAGGUUCUGGUCCGGAAACGGAGGCCUAGAAAAUUGACCCUGCUGGCUUUCAUGGGACUCUGCAUUUCCCCAGAAAGAAAAAGAAAAUGAGUGUGUUCAAGGAUGCACCAGUUCGAAUUCUAGGAGUUGACUCAUCACGGUGCUCACCAGGUGAACGUACAAAGCUUGCCUUUUCCUAGCAGCCCCUUUGGUGCCUGAGGAGCAUCAGCGUCUGGCCCUGGCGGGAUGGAAGCAGGGCUGGGAAGUCACCAAAUUGCUCAGGAGCCCAAGCACCCUCCCGCCCUCCUCCCCACCCCCCUUCACUCCACUCCAGUGGACACUGAACGUAGGUUGAGUUUGUACGUGUUUG